CCCAGGAACAAUAAGUGGCUGCAG
This 24-nucleotide non-coding RNA is filed under the name Cricetulus griseus (Chinese hamster). Lineage: Eukaryota; Metazoa; Chordata; Mammalia; Rodentia; Cricetidae. The record is from RNAcentral.